Long non-coding RNA from Thalassophryne amazonica, 563 nucleotides. RefSeq lists it as uncharacterized. Lineage: Eukaryota; Metazoa; Chordata; Actinopteri; Batrachoidiformes; Batrachoididae. The transcript is spliced from 2 exons. The record is from RefSeq and is a predicted model, not a curated record.
CUCUCCUGUACAGGACAAAGAAAUUCAGUGUCUCUUGCGUGAUCAUUUCUGUGUGAGUAGUUGUUCUUUUCAGGUCCAACUCUGAACAACUCUGACAUCUUGGUCCUUCGAGCCGGAUGCCAACAGACUGGAAACUCGUCAGCCCGUGACGGAGAACACCCGUGGAGUCUGCGGCCACAGAGCGGGAACCAGUUCCUGCAGACCCCUUUCUGGGGGACGGGUCUCCUCCCUAAUGGGUCGACACUUACCGGGGUGAAGGCAUACGGACUGCAGCAGUGGUGACAGAGUGUGAUCACGGGACCCUGAGGGUCAGAUCCAGAUUGGUGACUGGGUGCUGAUAAAGACUAUUAAGAGGAAGAACUGGUCAUCUCCAAGGUGGGAAGGUCCAUUCCAAGUGCUGCUAACCACCCCCACUGCCGUAAAAAUUGCAGAAAGGUCAUCUUGGGUGCAUCUAUCCCACUGUAAAAGACAAAGAUACCUGAAAGAUCCCGAACAAGACAAGGGGAGCGACGUGUAACAGUGACGGCUGAUGACCUAUAGGCCCAGUAACGGCUGGAAGCGCG